This 253-nucleotide ribosomal RNA is filed under the name uncultured bacterium. RNAcentral's name for it is "partial 16S ribosomal RNA". It matches the Rfam family "Bacterial small subunit ribosomal RNA", at positions 524 to 776 of the family's 1533-position model. The record is from RNAcentral.
UACGUAGGGUCCAAGCGUUGUCCGGAAUUAUUGGGCGUAAAGAGCUCGUAGGCGGUGUGUCGCGUCGGAUGUGAAAGCCCGGGGCUUAACUUCGGGUCUGCAUUCGGUACGGGCAUGCUGGAGUUCGGCAGGGGAGACUGGAAUUCCUGGUGUAGCGGUGAAAUGCGCAGAUAUCAGGAGGAACACCGGUGGCGAAGGCAAUCCCGUGGGCCUGCACUGACGCUCAUGCACGAAAGCGUGGGGAGCAAACAGG